Molecule: long non-coding RNA, 3443 nt
Organism: Zingiber officinale
Lineage: Eukaryota; Viridiplantae; Streptophyta; Magnoliopsida; Zingiberales; Zingiberaceae
Exons: 5
Source: RefSeq, a predicted model, not a curated record
UCCUCCUCACUGCUGGUCGUUCGGUCAUCUCUCUCAACUUCAUCUCCCUCUUUCCCUUCCUAGAUCGAAUCCCUUCCUCUCCCAAUCAGGAUCAACACACAAUGCCCUUGCUUCUUUGUCCAACCACACCGCAUCUCCUCCAACUCACGAUCAGGAAAUUUGCAACCACAAAAUUUCCUCCCGGUGUUCUUGUCUUAUCAAGAUCUCACGUCGUCCCCCUUUCAUUUUUUUUGUUCACCUAAACUUCCCCUCGCAGCUUCUCCUUUCCUCUCCACAACACAGAUCUUCUUCUAUCAUCAAUAAGGGGGUCGUCGAUGAGGAGGCUAGCGACAAGGAGGCUGCGAGCGUCGACUGCAUGAGAGGAUUCUGGAGUUGCUCUCGCACGGUCUGGAGAAGGUGAUGAAGUACGUGCUGGUGACAGGGGGAGUGGUGAGUGGGCUAGGGAAAGGGGUGAUGACGAGCUGCAUCAGAGUCCUCCUCAAGUCGUGAGGAGUCCAAGUCACCCUUAUUAAAAUCGGUGCUUGCCUCGAUUCCACCCCGUUUAUGUUCCAAACUGUGGUUUUCUUUCAUGUUUCUAAUGCCAUUUCUUUGCCUUGAUUCCACCUUUAAUAAAACCUCAUGUUGUGCUUUUAUGUUCCCAUAAGUGGUAAGGGAAGAGAGGGGUCCUUAUAGAGAUCCUCAGCAUCCAUAUUUUUUAUGAAGAAGAUGAUGUGUGGAUGGCUCCCGGAUUCGUCAAUCAAUUUUAUGAUGUUCCAAAUUACUGGAAGACAUAUGUUGAAGAAGUAGAUCAGAAAAGAGGGGAUGUGGCUGAACUCUUUCUGUAAAGCACCUCUAAGACUUCCUAUGCCUGCUGAGCUUUAAUAUUGGUGGGAGAAAGGUUUUAGUUUCUUUCUUUAUUUAUGUCAUUGCCACAGUUUUGACAUUGAUGUUCCUAAUCCUUUGUGCAUCACCCAUUAGUCACAUUUGUCGGUUGCAAUGUAUGCUCUUGAUAAGUCUUCAUAAGCUCAAUACUGUUAGUUUUUUUUCCUUUCUUUAUUUUCUUGUAUACUUUAUAUGAAUUGUUUUAAUAGUUUGUGUAACUUUUGCUUGCUAUUUCAUGCAUACUCUAAAAUAAGCUGUUAGGUUGGAAGGCUUUUGGGCACUCGUCAUGCUGCCUUUGGAAAUCCUAUCCUUGUUUCUUCAUUUUUUGUUUCUAUCGGGAGAGUAAGCGUUUAUUUAAAUCUUCAGUUUUCUUUUGUCAAUUUAAACAUAAGCUCCUUCCUUUAUUUGUUUCGAGGUCAUGUUUGUUGUACUAAAAUGGAAAAUUUAUUAUGUUGUCCCCUCUGUAAUAGACAAAGAUAGGAUUAUAGGAAAACUACAUAUACUCAAUUUGUCACAUAUUCUGCUUAGUUUUGGAUUGAAAGAGUUCUGGACUUGUAUUUACAUACAAGAGUGACUAAUUAAUAACUGAUUCUUAAACUCAGAUUAAUGCAGCUGAAGUGAGCUACAAAGAGAGCUUAGAUAUAUUUGAUGCCACUAGGGACAAAGGCUUGCUGCCUAAUGUUAUCAAGAGGUUGCCCAUGUUUAAGCUAAGUUAUGAUGAGAUCAUUAAUUCAUGUGGGAGGAAUGAUUUCAUUGAUGGAGAUACUGCAAGGAUGAUGUCGAUGUGUAACCACAUUUUCCAUGUGGUGUGCAUUGAUGUGUGGCUUGUGAAGCAUGAUUCCUGCCCUACUUGUAGACAAGAGGUUCUGCAAUUUGAGGUUUCUUGGGUGGAUUCUCUCUCUCUUUUCUGAAUAAAACAUUACAUAAUCUUGAGAAAGAAAAAAAUACUUUUAAGGCUUCGAAUGGGAGGAUGAAUGAAAAUUAAUAGAUGGAUGAACAAAUGAAUAUUAUUUAGUUUAUGUUUUUCCAUCUGGUAUCCCGAUCUAUUAGAUACAUGCUUAGUCGAGAUUAACUCUUCAUUCAAAAUCUAACAGAUGUUGUGAAGUGAUACUUGAUUGCAAAAGUAGGCAUCUAUCAAAAUUAAACACUGAAGAAACUAUGGAGCACAAGCAUAAGAUGCUUUCACUUACUAAGAAAAAGUUCAUUUAUUUGCUAAAAAGAUGGUGCAUGCAAUGGCAUCAAUGGAUGCAUUUUUGCAUCCUCUUUUUGAUGAACAUAAUUCAAGAAAGAGAGGAAGAAAGAAGAAUGACACAGAAGAAUAUUAUGAGGUUUUCUUCCUAUUAUUUUUUAUUAUGAGGUUUUCUUCCUAUUAUUUUAUCCUAAAAAGAAUAACAAGCAUGUAAAUGAAAAUGACUUCAUUUUGCAAGAAAACAUUGCACAAGAAGCUGAUUUAAGCAACAAUGGUAAUUCCUUAAGUAGUGCAUCUGCGAUCCAAAAUCAAAAUGACCAAAUUAUCAAGUACAUUCUCGACAUGCUAGAAUUGUGAAUCAAACUAACACAAGAUUAUAUUUGAUGAACAUCUUGGCACCGUUGGCACUUUUUUAUAUCUACUGAAAAAUAUUUUUUGUAUCUUGAUUCUAUAAAAUGUUGUAUCUCUAACUCAUAUGUAGUAUCUUGUAGAUGAGAAUUACGAUUUAUCUUGUACACGGUACUCAAUUUUUGCAAAUUAAACUAUGAGGUUAGAAUAUAUACAUAUAUAUAUAUAUAUAGUCUUUUUCGAACAUAAGUUAGAAUUUUAAAGUCUAAACUACUUCAUGCUAAUAGCCUUUUCACAAUCAUUUAAUUCCUUCCUUCCUGAAUCUUCAGAUAUGUUGAUUUAGAUAAAUCUCUUUAGAUUGCUUAAUUCUCUAUUUGGUGUUGUUCAUUGUUCUUAUUCUUUGGUAUUGAGGGUUAGUUGUGCACAUUUCAUUAGCUUUGGAGUAUGCAAAUUUCAACAGUUUCCUUGAAUCAAUGGUUUAUAGGGAAAAUAAGCUUGUCUAGAAUAUUAUGUAUUUCUAUCCUCUUAAUCUAUUGAUCGGGUUUUAAGGAUUGAUUGGCUGGCCAACAGACAUUGAUAUUAUAUGUAGUAUAGUUGUAUACUUAUGAGGGCAUAUAUGUUAGUGAGAUGGUGUUAACCUAUACUUGAUGGAAAUCACUCCCUAGUAGAGGAGUAGUGUAUUUUACUAGACUUUUCUCUUCGGAUCAACCCAUAGGAUAACUUGAUCUUGUUCCCGUUAUUUAUUAUAUAUGUGAUGAUACUAUGGAAUUAGUUAAGAUAUUAAUAAUAGAUGACUAGUAUUCUCUUAAUGAGAUUGGUUGACUAGUAUUUUGGAGACCUAAUGUCUAUUUUCUGCCUAUAUUUUAGUAGAAUUAUAUUAUAGUAUAGGAUACUGAGUAUCAAAUGUCUAUAUGAAAAGUAUUUUUCACCUUCAUAUUUUGAUAUAAUGGUUCACUUAACAGCCCAUCUCGUGCGUGAGGUCAACAUGGCCUUGAAAAUGUAUAAUGCGGAGGUAGGAAGAAAAGGGAAAAACAACCAACAUGGG